GGACCGGAUGUGUCCCGCUGUAAACUAAAGUCUGCAGGUCGACGGAAGGACGGAGGGUUCCGUGACCCAGAGCUGCAGGGAGCCCACAGUCGCCUGGCGAGUGGCUAACCGGUGACCCGCCCGGUUUCACGGGGAUUUGUUUGUAUACCGGCAGUAAACACAGCCAGCUUCCGGUCACUGCGCGAACGCGAAAGUUUUCCUGCCAGUAAGCUACAUGUUAGCAUGGAAGGCGCUAACCUGCUGAAGAGGCGGUUCCUGGAGGAGGGGGCGGAGCUUUGGAGUUGUAAACCAGUGCAGAAGCGACUGUGCAUGGAGGCGGCUCUGCAGCUGGCGGAGUGUCCCAUGGAGACGUCCUGCGUUGCCACGGUGACCAGUCAGCAGGAGCAGAAACGAGGUCCCUUGACGUGUGCGCAGGUUCGUGCCGUUCAUCUCAGACCUCCUACCAUCUGCUGCGCCCGAUGUCUCGGAGGAGAGCCGGGUCAUAUCAACCACAUCAUGGGUCUCUGAAGUGAGGAGGAGAACUUCCUGCAGUCUCUGGAGGACUCGUCUGAACCUUCAACCAUCAAACUACUCUUAAACUCCACCUGAGGGUUUUUCUUCAGCAGCUGCUGCCAGAGCUUCAGGCCAUCAUCGUCUUCCUCCAUCGACUCGCAGUAACUCCAGCGGGUCGGGACGUCCACCCCACUUGUGUUUACUUUUGAUUUUGUUCUGCAACACUCUGAUGUUUGAGGCUAUUAGAGGUUUUUUGCUUCAGUAAGUUUAAGCCACGCCCUCCUCGUCUGAUUGGUUUAAUCCAUCCAGUCCAAAGAAACUGCUAUGACCUUUGACCUCUAACAGUAAAGGGCUAUUUCACCAGGGAGGGUGUUUCUCCCCUCAGUCUGGUCUCAGGAUAACUCCUCCCUCUGUGGUGUUUAAGGGAAAAAUUCUGUUUAGUGACUUGAAUUAACUUUAAAAAAUGUUUAAUUUAAUUACAUCUUUGUACGAUUAAUGAAAUAUGAAUCCAGAAAUGUUCACUAGUCUUCCUGUUCGUACAUUUCUAUUUUUAUAAAGAUAUCUAUAUUUGUAUGUCCAAUCUGAAUGUGAAGGAACGACCUCCUAAACUUUAUUUCAUUAUCGUCAAGCUCCAAGACUAACAGCGUUUGUAAUGUAGAUUUCAGAAUAAAAGCUUUGAUACGCUUUGAUUUUGAAA
Oryzias latipes (Japanese medaka) is the source of this 1189-nucleotide non-coding RNA. NCBI's taxonomy places the organism in Eukaryota, Metazoa, Chordata, Actinopteri, Beloniformes, Adrianichthyidae. The record is from RefSeq and is a predicted model, not a curated record.